Molecule: long non-coding RNA, 1932 nt
Organism: Poecilia latipinna (sailfin molly)
Lineage: Eukaryota; Metazoa; Chordata; Actinopteri; Cyprinodontiformes; Poeciliidae
Exons: 3
Source: RefSeq, a predicted model, not a curated record
UCCUGUUGUCCCAUCCUCUCAGUCUUUUCAGAAGAAGAAAAGACCCAGAAAGACCCAGAAGCACCUCUCCAGCUGCCUCUCCUCCCACUCCGUCAUCUGUCUCCUCCCAUAGAUCAGCCACAUCUGCAUUCAUGUCACCUGCUGACCAUGCCGUCUCCUUAAGUCAGGGUGGCGUUGGUGGAAAUGUAGUACCCAAAAUCAAUCCCUGGGCGUAGAACUAAUGCGCGGAAAAAUCUGGGAUGAUACCUGGGAACCUGCAAGUAAAUCCUCUCAUGUUGCUGUCCACCAAGUGCCACUUCCUUCAGACAGCGAACAAGUCCUUCCAUGAUGUUACUUUUUCUUUUUUGUAUUACAAAGUAUUAAUUUCUUUUCUUUUUUUUUUUACUGCAGUUUGACCAUUUUACGAAGUUCUCUGUGUAAUAUUGUUUUCGGCCAUUCACUGAAAUGAAUGUUAUGGUUAUAAUAUAGUAGUUAUGUAAGCUUAUGUUGGGCUGUUUACUGACACAUUUUUGUCAAGUUCUGUUAAAGACGAAGUGAGGCUGAUUGAGUCACUGCAUCAGGCAGGUAUUGUGCCUGUAUUAAGUCUUGAAAUUUAGAACAGAAUUGUUUGUAGAUUUUGUUCAGUAAAUAUGACCUAAAGUCUUAAAAACUUUAAACAUGGUAUUGUACACAUUUCUUUUUGAGUGUUUUGAUGCGGAUGUACAAAGUAAAGUCUAUAAAAAUACAUAACAAAAUAAGCACAACUUGAUUUUCUCUACAAUUGAGCACUGUAGCCCGACUAAAUCUGCUCUGGUGGGAAAAGAAUGAUUUGCCUGAUGCUGUCUCAGGCCUCUGUGGUUUAUUUCAUAAUUUCAUCAGCCUGCAGAGAAAAGGCAUAAAGAGAAUCUAAGUUAAGUUGUGUCCAUCUAAUUAUUGUAGUUGAAAUAGAGGUUUCCCCCUUUUGGUUUGUAAAUGUAUCCAAAUACCAAGUUAAUGUACAUUUCAUUAAGAUUAUUUCACUAAGUUGGGACCCUUUGUUUUAAAAAAGAAGUUAUGUCCAAAUCUGAAGCAUUUCAACUAAAUGACACCGACAGCAAGUUUUUCUACCAAACCUUAGUUGGCUUCCUUUUUCAUCUGUCAACUGUUGAACAUAGACAUGCUUGAAUAAUGCUAGGUCUAUGUAGGCAAUUAUAAUUCAUUUUCAUAAGUCCUUAAAAAGUACCUAAAAGCUGAACAACUUAUUUCUCCUGACAAUUUCUUGAAAUCACUUCUUGUUCUUCUAACAUUGUAAUAUCCUUCAUUACUGACUUGUCAUCAGCUGAUGGAUACAGAACAUGUCCUGAAGAGUCCACUAAAUUAGAUGCUGUUUUGUUUAUAAAAUCAUGCCUUUGUGAUUUUUGUAUAAAUGCAUGUCAUUAAACAAAAUCAUACCUGAACACUGCAUUAAAAAAUCACUUUGACAAGUACUCAAACUUUAUUUUACUUAAGACAUUGACAGACAAACUGAACCGCAUUCAAUUGACCAAGGAUAAGAAAUUGUUCCACCAGUACACACUUUGUGUAUUCUUUGGAUUAAGAAAUAAGUCAGAGCUGCACAUAUUAAUAAAAAAAGAAAAGUAGAAGAUCCAAAAAGAUGUCUUGGUUAUGUUAGAUACUACAGAAUCACUGGGACUGCUUAACGUAGCAUUGUAGCCAUUUAACUGCUCAACAUAAGCACAAGUGUUAUUAUUCCACUUGAAGUAAAAAUAGUAAAGUAUUAAAUUAACUACAAUUUCUCUUAUUAUUACAUAGAAAAUACACUAGAUGUGCAGAAACUUAAGUGAAAAAGAGAUACACUCAAUGACAUGACUGUGGAAGUAAUUACAGCUCUAGUAAGCCCUUCUAGAAAGUACAAAGGCACAAACAAAUUAACUCUUAAAAAAAGAAUCAACAAGAUAAAACACUGCCCAUUUG